RNAcentral lists this ribosomal RNA (467 nucleotides) under uncultured bacterium. RNAcentral describes it as "SSU rRNA". It matches the Rfam family "Bacterial small subunit ribosomal RNA", at positions 26 to 518 of the family's 1533-position model. The record is from RNAcentral.
AGGACGAACGCUGGCGGCGUGCUUAACACAUGCAAGUCGAGCGGAAAGGCCCUUCGGGGUACUCGAGCGGCGAACGGGUGAGUAACACGUGAGUAACCUGCCCUGGACUUUGGGAUAACCCUCGGAAACGGGGGCUAAUACCGGAUAUGACCUGUCACUGCAUGGUGGUGGGUGGAAAGUUUUUCGGUCUGGGAUGGGCUCGCGGCCUAUCAGCUUGUUGGUGGGGUGAUGGCCUACCAAGACGACGACGGGUAGCCGGCCUGAGAGGGCGACCGGCCACACUGGGACUGAGACACGGCCCAGACUCCUACGGGAGGCAGCAGUGGGGAAUAUUGCACAAUGGGCGGAAGCCUGAUGCAGCGACGCCGCGUGAGGGAUGACGGCCUUCGGGUUGUAAACCUCUUUCAGCAGGGACGAAGCGAGAGUGACGGUACUGCAGAGAGCGCCGCACUACGUGCAGCAGCCGC